Branchiostoma floridae (Florida lancelet) is the source of this 868-nucleotide long non-coding RNA. RefSeq lists it as uncharacterized. Lineage: Eukaryota; Metazoa; Chordata; Leptocardii; Amphioxiformes; Branchiostomatidae. The record is from RefSeq and is a predicted model, not a curated record. The transcript is spliced from 2 exons.
AGUGCCGCAGGGGUACGUACUUGACGAUUACGUCAGACGAUGGCGGUUCCAGUAGGUCAAUGUUCGAAGCAGCUGCGGGUAAACGUCUUUCGGUAUGUCGUCAAGGCCAACCUACCGGACAAGAGCGACGACGACGAGGUGUUCCUGACAGACAUAUAUUAUGUCCAUCAGAACGACACAUUCCCACCACACCCAACAUAGAGACUCUUACCGCCACAAGGGAAGUAGGUCGAGUCCCUUCACGAAAAGUGGCCAUCGCUGAGAGGAGCCAGAAUAUACGUUUGUGCGGCUUGAACAUUCUUAACAGAAGGGAGCCACACAACAUCCAGAACAGCGCCAUCGACAGAAGGAAGGCACUGUGAGGGAAGUAGAGGCCAGUAGCAGAGCCAAGACGUACAGCCGAUAGUUGUGAUCAUACUUGUCCAUGUAUAGAAAACCUGACAUGACACCAGUUAUAGAAUUCACGGAUUGACUGACUGUUUAUAUCACGAAUAUGUAUUUUAGUGUAUACAUUGUAGUAGUUGAUUUUACAUGUAUAUGAAUGGACCGUAGAUGAAAUAGCCGUUGUUUUGUGGUUUGACAAGACCUGUCUGUUUGAUACGCCAAAAUGUGACCACGAGAUAUAAUGUAUUUGUAUGACAGAUAGUCAGAGAGUAAAGAUCAGAAGAGAAAUUAAGAUCCUCAGCUAAGACCGAGGUUAGCGAGGUCAGCAUUACUAGUAUAUAGUAACGUCAAACCACCUUAACAGUCUCCCGUGCCCAGUGUACGGAAAACCUUGUCUCUGCGUCCUUCCUUUAUUAUAGCUGUGCUAGUCUUCAAAGCAGAAUCUAAACAACUUGAACCCAUUGGUUUCAUGGCUUGUUUGAAA